UUCACAUCGUCUUCCUCCUCGGCAGCCACUCUUGUGAGUUCGUCCCCGUUCAUCCUCCAAAAAACUUGUCAUCCUUUUGUUCUGGAAGCAUUGCAGUCCAUACUCAAUCGAUAACAAAGGUUAUGGUACCGAAUCACAACAUGUUUUCAAUAAAUACUUGGAUUUUGGGUUAGGAUGUUCCAAAUAAAUGAAACGGAGUAGGAACUUAAGAAAUUAUAUCCACACUGUAGGAUCUCUUCGAUCAACACCGUUACUAUCACAAUUCUUGACGCACUGAACAGAGCAGGGGUAUGGUCUCUUUGCAGUACAUGUCCGAUGUCUACUGCCUAAUUCUUUCUUGAUGAAGGAUUGCUUUGUAGUUUGAGCAAUCCUACUUCUGCCACUUGAUGGAGGAUUUGUAUUUGAGUACUCUAAACUGCUCUGUAGUUUGUACUUUGUACUGCCAGAUAUAGCUUAUGCCACUGGUCAGAUCUUAAUCUAUUCCUUUUCUGGUUCCUCAUUUAGGAUUCAACACAAUUUGGUCACUUUCGUCUUUUGCAUUGUCCUUGCUAAUUCCACAAGUUGCAUCUAGGUGUAAACCAUUAGAAAUUUAAGGUAGUACUGCCCUACAGGAACAAUGGGAAGCAGCUCAUGCAAGAGUUGGUAGCUAGUUGAUUCUUUUUCUUUUUCUUUUUCUUUUAACAAAUAGCCAGUUGAUUCAUGGAAGCAUAUGAGAGAGUAACAAACAUUGGAAGUUGCAACUAGGACAAAGGAUACAGGUACCUAUUUGUGUAAUUCCAUUUUUCCCCCUUUCCCUGUCAACUUUUGUUGGCAAAUUGUGAUAGCAUCUUUGUUCUGAGCAUUAAACAACACCGACUAACUUUCCCCAAAAUUUAUAUUACAGCAAUCCAGUAUGCAUUGUGAUUUAAGAUUCCAGUAAAAUUCUAAAUUUCCAUAUUUUUCUUUAAAAAAAUUAGGACAUACCGAAGCCAAUGAAGGUAUACCCUCAUUUUAUUUUUGACAUAUAUGACUUUACACAUUUUCAUGGUCAUUUAAAUUUAUUUACCGUAUUAUCAUUUGCAUUGCAGGUUAAGAUACUAGUGAAGAUCAGCCUACUGACAUGGUCACCUUGUCACUCCAUCAGGUACAGCACAUACAUCAUGUUAAUUAUGAUAAACAUGCUUCAUUCACAGCUGAACAAGUAUGUUUUUUAUCAGGUUCAAGUGUGUUAAUUCCACGUCAGGAUCUCAGUCAAGUUCCUACAUUCAUGUGAAGGUAACUAUGCUUUGCUUGUCAGGAGCAUAGUACCAUCACCAUUCAGUUCGUCAGGCAGACAGAGCAGAGCACAAGUCGGCAGUAGCUGUAACGCUUCAGCGACUUCACUUGAGCCGUCGAUUCCAC
This 1380-nucleotide long non-coding RNA is filed under the name Setaria italica (foxtail millet). RNAcentral's name for it is "long non-coding RNA (SITA_LNC006040)". Lineage: Eukaryota; Viridiplantae; Streptophyta; Magnoliopsida; Poales; Poaceae. The record is from RNAcentral.